Molecule: transfer RNA, 85 nt
Filed under: Felis catus (domestic cat)
Lineage: Eukaryota; Metazoa; Chordata; Mammalia; Carnivora; Felidae
Also listed under: 1 other name
Rfam family: tRNA
About the family: Transfer RNA (tRNA) molecules are approximately 80 nucleotides in length. Their secondary structure includes four short double-helical elements and three loops (D, anti-codon, and T loops).
Source: Rfam by way of RNAcentral
GCCUGGGUGGCUCAGUUGGUUGAGCAUCUGACUUCGGCUCAGGCUAUGAUCUCACAGCUCGUGAGUUCGAGCCCCGUGUCAGGCU